This is a long non-coding RNA of Astatotilapia calliptera (eastern happy), 928 nucleotides long. The record is from Ensembl. NCBI's taxonomy places the organism in Eukaryota, Metazoa, Chordata, Actinopteri, Cichliformes, Cichlidae.
GCAACCUCUCUGUUUUCUGGGAAGUUUAAAUGUGUCAGCAAGGUAAUGUAGAUGUUAUAUUGGUUAUAUAGUGUAUGUUAUGUAAAUAAAUCUAAACCUUUAUAAACUUAAAAAUAUUCCACAGAUGUUGUUUCCGGCUGAGGACAUUUGGUUGUGCCCACUGAACUCUGGUGCACACUGGAUCCUUGUGGUACAUGUUCACACCUCAUGUGUUUUUUCUCUUUUUUGUUUUACUGUUCUUUUUAGCAGCAUAUUCUUAUUUUGAAAAUGCUUACAAUUGAUUAUGUUUACUUAAGUGAGUGUAAUACACAUAUUCUACUAAAUACAAUUUUUAUUUUAGGUUGUCAAAAUCUCCUCACAAUCUGUACUGCUGUUAGACCCUCUUGGAAAUGAAGGUUGUUAUGAAAGGAAAGUUAUGCGUAACUGGAGGUAUUCAUCAUUCAUAAAUUUUCUGUUUUGGGUUGUUUGGUUUGUGGGGGUUUUUUUCUUUUUAUUUAGAGCAAAAUGCUGGCUACAUUUUAAAAACUUGUUUUAUUUUUAUUAGGAAUUUUCUGAGGAUGAAAGGAAAGGAGGAGUCCCGAGUGGACCAUAUCAAUAUCAAGUCAUUCUGAUUUUGCUUUCAAAAAUAAAAGCCCUUUCAAAUUGUCCACAAUUUACCUAACUUUCUGUGAUUUCAAAAUGCUCUAAAAUGGAAAAUUCCUGUUUCCACAGGGUAAUUCCACUUUAGAUCAACAGUAUACAGACCCACAGUGAUACCAUAUCAAUAUCAAGUCAUUCUGAUUAUGCUUUCAAAAAUAAGUCUUUUAAAAUUGCCCAUAUCUGACUUACUCUUGGAACAAUUUCAAAAUGCUCUUAAAUAGAAUUUUGCUGUUUCCACAGGCUAAUUCCACUUUAGAUCAACAGUAUCCAACCCCACAGUGAUACCAUA